This 75-nucleotide transfer RNA is filed under the name Desulfuromonadaceae bacterium. RNAcentral describes it as "tRNA-Val". It matches the Rfam family "tRNA". Rfam says of the family: Transfer RNA (tRNA) molecules are approximately 80 nucleotides in length. Their secondary structure includes four short double-helical elements and three loops (D, anti-codon, and T loops). Lineage: Bacteria; Pseudomonadati; Thermodesulfobacteriota; Desulfuromonadia; Desulfuromonadales; Desulfuromonadaceae. The record is from RNAcentral. RNAcentral also lists the same sequence under 1 other name.
GGGCGAUUAGCUCAGCGGGAGAGCAUCCGCCUCACACGCGGAGGGUCACUGGUUCAAUCCCAGUAUCGCCCACCA